RNAcentral lists this long non-coding RNA (2714 nucleotides) under Sus scrofa (pig). RNAcentral's name for it is "lncRNA (ENSSSCG00000055285.1)". Lineage: Eukaryota; Metazoa; Chordata; Mammalia; Artiodactyla; Suidae. The record is from RNAcentral.
AGCUUAGGAUUUUUUCAUUCCCUUCCUGUGCUGAAAAAAAUUGGGUGCUGCCUCUGAAGAUCUGUGGCUUUUGUGCAGGGUGAACAUGUGCUCAAGUACACACAUGGACCACGGCCGAGGGUUAUGCAACGAGAUCUUCCAAGUACGGCUGGCUCACACACAAGGCCCUGAUGUGGCAACUUCAGCUCUCAUCGCAGGUAAGCUGAGCAUGAGCUUGAAAAGCCAGAGUUGUGGUUCAGUGUGGCCUGCCGGCCAACUUUGAUUUCUGCUUCAAAAUGUUCCCUUAAACCCUAGGUUUGGGUCCAAAAGACCUAAGAGAAUUCUGUUUCACAGAGGCACUCCCUACCACACUCAUGGGGUACUGGAGAUAAGCAGUUUUUUUUUUUAAAUAAUGAUUUUAUUUUUUCCAUUAUAGCUGGUUUACAGUGUUCUAUCAAUUUUCUGCUGUACGGCAAGGUGACCCAGUCACACAUACAUUCUUUUUUCUCACAUUAUCUUGCUCCAUCAUAAGUGACUGGAUAUAGCUCCCAGUGUUAUACAGCAGGAUCUCAUUGCUUAUCUGCUCCAAAAGCAAUAGUUUGCAUCUAUUAACCUCAAAUUCCCAGUCCAUCCCACUCCGUCCCCCUCCCCCUUGGCAACCACAAGUCAGUUUUCCAAGUCCAUGUCUUUUUUUUCUGAGGAAAGUUUCGUGUGUACCAUAUAUUAGAUUCCAAAUGUAAGUGAUAUCAUAUGGUAUUUGUCUUUCUUUUUCUGACUUACUUCACUUAGUAUGAGAGUCUUUAGUUCCAUCCAUGUUGCUGCAGAUGGCAAAUGGCAUUAUUUUGUUCUUUUUAUGUCUGAGCAGUAUUCCAUUGUAUAUAUAUAUCACACCUUCUUAAUCCAUUCAUCUGUCAGUGGACAUUUAGGUUGUUUCCAUGUCUUGGCUAUUGUGAAUAGUGCUGCAGUGAACAUGCGUGUGCAUGUGUCUUUUUCAGGGAAAGUUUUGUCCUGAUAUAUGCCCAAGAGUGGGAUUGCUGGAUCAUAUGGUAGUUCUAUAUGUAGUUUUCUAAGACACCUCCAUUCUGUUUUCCAUAGUGGUUGUACCAAUUUACAUUCCCACCAGCAGUGCAGGAAGGUUCCCUUUUCUCUACACCCUCUCCAGCAUUUGUAAUUAGUGGACUUAUUAAUGAUGGCCAUUCUGACAGGUGCGAGGUGGUAUCUCAUAAUAGUUUUGAUUUGCAUUUUUCUAAUAAUCAGUGAUGUCGAGCAUUUUUUCAUGUGCUUAUUGGCCAUCUGUAUAUCUUCUUUGGAGAAAUGUCUAUUCAGGUCUUCUUGCCCAUUUUUCCAUUGGGUUGUUGGCUUUUUGCUGUUGAGUUGUAUAACUUGUUUGUGUAUUUUAGAGAUUAAGUCCUUGUCAGUUGCAUCAUUUGAAACUAUUUUCUCCCAUUCUGUAAGUUGUCCUUUUUGUUUUUGUUUUUGAUGAUUUCCUUUGCUAUGCAAAAGCUUGCCAGUUUGAUUGGGUCCCAUUGGCUUAUUUUUGCUUUUAUUUCUAUUGCCUUGAGAGAAUGACCUGAGAACACAUCUGUAAGGUUGAUGUCAGAGAAUGUUUUGCCUCUGUUCUCUUCUAGGAGUUUGCUGGUGUCUUGUGAUAAGUAGUUUUUAUCUUGCCCAUGGUGGGGGGCAGUAGCUAUUGCAGCAGAGACCUGGGCUGGUCAAAGUGUUCACAAUCUUGUGGUUUUAUUAACCAAGUGGCUUGGCCACACCAGUGCCACUUCUAGACAGCGUAAUAGACCCUGCUGUGGCACAAUAAUCUAUUUCUUAUGGGUUUUUUUAAAAACUGUGUUUCUGGUUGUUCUUGGGGAAAUUGACUAUCUAGAAAACUUAUUUAACCAUAUAGUAGGAUUUUCCGUCAUGGCUCCGCAGAAAUGAAUCUGACUGGCAUCCAUGAGGAUGCAGGUUCGAUCCCUGGCCUUGCUCACUGGGUUAAGGAUCCGGUGUUGCUGUGAGCUGUGGUGUAGGCCGGUAGCUGCAGCUCUGAUUGGACCCCUAGCCUGGGAAUCUCCAUAUGCCGCAGGUGUGGCCCUAAAAAGACAAACAAACAAACAUAUAGUGUAAUAGUUUGGACUGAAAGGAAUUUUGGAUCUCUCACCUUUCCAGACAAGGUAACGGCAGCCUAGGACGGUGAGGCGUCUUAUCCGGGGCAGACAGGGGGUUGCUCUCAGAGCUGUCUAACAGCCUUGGGUGACUUCCAUGGUGGUUCUCCUGUUCCCAGUCAUACUGCCUUUAGUUAUUGAAAGGAGGUAGCAAAGUGGUGACAUGAUGACUUUUUUAAAGCUAAUAGUCCAUAUUUAAAAAUUGGGAGAUUAAACAUAAGAAUCUGGACUCCAGAGUUUCUGUUGUGGCUCAGUGGUAAUGAACCCGACUAGUAGCCAUGAGAUGAGGCUUGGAUCUGGCCACAGCCACAGCUCCAAUUUAACCCCUAGCCUGGGAAAUUCCGUAUGCCACACAUGCAGGCCUAAAGAGAAAAAAUAAAUAAAUAAAUAAAAAGAAGAAAUGGGACCUUUCUCUCCCUUUGCCCCAUAGAAUCCCACUGUGGCGCAAUGGGUAUGGUGGCAUCUCUGGAGCGCUGGGACACAGGUUUGAUCCCUGACCAGGCACACUAGGUUAAAGGACCUGGCAUUGCUGCAGCUGUGACAUAGGUUACAACUGCGGCUCAGAUUUGAUCCCUGGCCCAG